UUAAGUUAUUAAGGGCGCACGGUGGAUGCCUUGGCACUAGAAGCCGAUGAAGGACGUUACUAACGACGAUAUGCUUUGGGGAGCUGUAAGUAAGCUUUGAUCCAGAGAUUUCCGAAUGGGGAAACCCAGCAUGAGUUAUGUCAUGUUAUCGAUAUGUGAAUACAUAGCAUAUCAGAAGGCACACCCGGAGAACUGAAACAUCUUAGUACCCGGAGGAAGAGAAAGAAAAUUCGAUUCCCUUAGUAGCGGCGAGCGAAACGGGAAGAGCCCAAACCAAAAAGCUUGCUUGUUGGGGUUGUAGGACACUCUAUACGGAGUUACAAAGGACGACAUUAGACGAAUCAUCUGGAAAGAUGAAUCAAAGAAGGUAAUAAUCCUGUAGUCGAAAAUGUUGUCUCUCUUGAGUGGAUCCUGAGUACGACGGAGCACGUGAAAUUCCGUCGGAAUCUGGGAGGACCAUCUCCUAAGGCUAAAUACUCUCUAGUGACCGAUAGUGAACCAGUACCGUGAGGGAAAGGUGAAAAGCACCCCGGAAGGAGAGUGAAAUAGAACCUGAAACCGUGUGCUUACAAGUAGUCAGAGCCCGUUAAUGGGUGAUGGCGUGCCUUUUGUAGAAUGAACCGGCGAGUUACGAUUUGAUGCAAGGUUAAGCAGUAAAUGUGGAGCCGUAGCGAAAGCGAGUCUGAAUAGGGCGUUUAGUAUUUGGUCGUAGACCCGAAACCAGGUGAUCUACCCUUGGUCAGGUUGAAGUUCAGGUAACACUGAAUGGAGGACCGAACCGACUUACGUUGAAAAGUGAGCGGAUGAACUGAGGGUAGCGGAGAAAUUCCAAUCGAACCUGGAGAUAGCUGGUUCUCUCCGAAAUAGCUUUAGGGCUAGCCUCAAGUGAUGAUUAUUGGAGGUAGAGCACUGUUUGGACGAGGGGCCCCUCUCGGGUUACCGAAUUCAGACAAACUCCGAAUGCCAAUUAAUUUAACUUGGGAGUCAGAACAUGGGUGAUAAGGUCCGUGUUCGAAAGGGAAACAGCCCAGACCACCAGCUAAGGUCCCAAAAUAUAUGUUAAGUGGAAAAGGAUGUGGCGUUGCCCAGACAACUAGGAUGUUGGCUUAGAAGCAGCCAUCAUUUAAAGAGUGCGUAAUAGCUCACUAGUCGAGUGACACUGCGCCGAAAAUGUACCGGGGCUAAACAUAUUACCGAAGCUGUGGAUUGUCCUUUGGACAAUGGUAGGAGAGCGUUCUAAGGGCGUUGAAGCAUGAUCGUAAGGACAUGUGGAGCGCUUAGAAGUGAGAAUGCCGGUGUGAGUAGCGAAAGACGGGUGAGAAUCCCGUCCACCGAUUGACUAAGGUUUCCAGAGGAAGGCUCGUCCGCUCUGGGUUAGUCGGGUCCUAAGCUGAGGCCGACAGGCGUAGGCGAUGGAUAACAGGUUGAUAUUCCUGUACCACCUAUAAUCGUUUUAAUCGAUGGGGGGACGCAGUAGGAUAGGCGAAGCGUGCGAUUGGAUUGCACGUCUAAGCAGUAAGGCUGAGUAUUAGGCAAAUCCGGUACUCGUUAAGGCUGAGCUGUGAUGGGGAGAAGACAUUGGGUCUUCGAGUCGUUGAUUUCACACUGCCGAGAAAAGCCUCUAGAUAGAAAAUAGGUGCCCGUACCGCAAACCGACACAGGUAGUCAAGAUGAGAAUUCUAAGGUGAGCGAGCGAACUCUCGUUAAGGAACUCGGCAAAAUGACCCCGUAACUUCGGGAGAAGGGGUGCUCUUUAGGGUUAACGCCCAGAAGAGCCGCAGUGAAUAGGCCCAAGCGACUGUUUAUCAAAAACACAGGUCUCUGCUAAACCGUAAGGUGAUGUAUAGGGGCUGACGCCUGCCCGGUGCUGGAAGGUUAAGAGGAGUGGUUAGCUUCUGCGAAGCUACGAAUCGAAGCCCCAGUAAACGGCGGCCGUAACUAUAACGGUCCUAAGGUAGCGAAAUUCCUUGUCGGGUAAGUUCCGACCCGCACGAAAGGCGUAACGAUUUGGGCACUGUCUCAACGAGAGACUCGGUGAAAUCAUAGUACCUGUGAAGAUGCAGGUUACCCGCGACAGGACGGAAAGACCCCGUGGAGCUUUACUGUAGCCUGAUAUUGAAAUUCGGCACAGCUUGUACAGGAUAGGUAGGAGCCUUUGAAACGUGAGCGCUAGCUUACGUGGAGGCGCUGGUGGGAUACUACCCUAGCUGUGUUGGCUUUCUAACCCGCACCACUUAUCGUGGUGGGAGACAGUGUCAGGCGGGCAGUUUGACUGGGGCGGUCGCCUCCUAAAAGGUAACGGAGGCGCUCAAAGGUUCCCUCAGAAUGGUUGGAAAUCAUUCAUAGAGUGUAAAGGCAUAAGGGAGCUUGACUGCGAGACCUACAAGUCGAGCAGGGUCGAAAGACGGACUUAGUGAUCCGGUGGUUCCGCAUGGAAGGGCCAUCGCUCAACGGAUAAAAGCUACCCCGGGGAUAACAGGCUUAUCUCCCCCAAGAGUUCACAUCGACGGGGAGGUUUGGCACCUCGAUGUCGGCUCAUCGCAUCCUGGGGCUGUAGUCGGUCCCAAGGGUUGGGCUGUUCGCCCAUUAAAGCGGUACGCGAGCUGGGUUCAGAACGUCGUGAGACAGUUCGGUCCCUAUCCGUCGUGGGCGUAGGAAAUUUGAGAGGAGCUGUCCUUAGUACGAGAGGACCGGGAUGGACAUACCUCUGGUGUACCAGUUGUCGUGCCAACGGCAUAGCUGGGUAGCUAUGUGUGGACGGGAUAAGUGCUGAAAGCAUCUAAGCAUGAAGCCCCCCUCAAGAUGAGAUUUCCCAACUUCGGUUAUAAGAUCCCUCAAAGAUGAUGAGGUUAAUAGGUUCGAGGUGGAAGCAUGGUGACAUGUGGAGCUGACGAAUACUAAUCGAUCGAAGACUUAAUCAA
Molecule: ribosomal RNA, 2921 nt
Filed under: Staphylococcus aureus M1199
Lineage: Bacteria; Bacillati; Bacillota; Bacilli; Caryophanales; Staphylococcaceae
Description: bacterial LSU rRNA
Rfam family: Bacterial large subunit ribosomal RNA
Source: RNAcentral